This is a non-coding RNA of Aedes aegypti (yellow fever mosquito), 71 nucleotides long. The record is from Rfam. NCBI's taxonomy places the organism in Eukaryota, Metazoa, Arthropoda, Insecta, Diptera, Culicidae.
GGCUCGGUAGCUUAGAUGGUAAAACGCUCGUCUAGCAUACAAGAGUCCUGGUUCGAAUCCCAGCCGAGCAC